RNAcentral lists this long non-coding RNA (2492 nucleotides) under Capra hircus (goat). RNAcentral's name for it is "lncRNA (ENSCHIG00010012365.1)". The record is from RNAcentral. Lineage: Eukaryota; Metazoa; Chordata; Mammalia; Artiodactyla; Bovidae.
AGUCGGACAUGACUGAGCGACUGAACUGAACUGAACACGUUCUUAGUGAUGCUGAUGAUGCUGGUCCGCGGAUAACAUUGAUAACCGCAUUGCUUGUUUAAAAAGCCCUGAUUUCUUUUUGGCCUUCAGAAAGAGUUUUCUAGGCUCUCUGGUCCCUGGCUAUAUCUGACCUGUACUACUGGUAGAGGCAGGUGAAGAUUCCAUACUGGCAAUGCAGUAUUGGACUUUGUUCUCAGAAGUUCCUGACAUGAAUGCUGUGUUGGCUGCUUGUGAAUGAUAAAGAUCCUCUCCCUUUCAUACUUCCCUGGUGGCUCAGACGGUAAAGCGUCUGUCUACAAUGUGAGAGNNNNNNNNNNNNNNNNNNNNNNNNNNNNNNNNNNNNNNNNNNNNNNNNNCAACCCACUCCAGUACUCUUGCCUUGAAAAUCCCAUGGACAGAGGAGCUUAGUGCAGGCUACUAUCCAUGGACUUGCAAAGAGUCGGGCACAGCUGAGCGACUUCACUUUCAUACUUAAUCCAAGUCUCAACUCUGAAUCUCUCCAACCAGACAGUUCUUUCUCUGGGAGAAUAAAUUUGGAAUUCUGGCCUGUCUGCCCCCAUACAUCUCCUGAAUUGUUGAUAACACCCAUGACUACCUUUAAACAUCUUUUAAAUCUUCAAUAGCUCAGUGGUAUCUGAAACCCACAGUAGUUGCUUUUCUUUAUUUUCCAUUUUGUUACAAAAUUAUAAUUGACAGACAAUAUCAUAGUGGCCCUUCUCUUUCCUCAGUGAGUCUGGCUAAAGGUUUGUUAGUUUUGUCAAUCUUUUCAAAGAGCCAAUUCUUAGAUUCAUUGCUCUUUUAAAAAAAUGUUUUUAAAGUUUCAAUUUUAUCUUCUUGGAGAAUAAUCUUCCUUUGUAACAUAAGUGACAGGCCGAGAAAUGCUGUGAGGUGCAUUUUUUUUUUUUUUUUUUUGGUGAGGGUCUUUAGUGAAUAAGAACUCUCAUUUCUUUGUUCAACAGUCUGUUCAUCUUUAUAUACUUCCAGAGACAAAUUGUUCUCAGUAGUCGAGUAGUUUCAAAUAAACUUUUUUCUCUAAUAAAAUAUCACAGACCUAAGUGUAUUAUUAAAGUUGUCAGUGUGUCAACUGUAUACCUUUCACAAUUUUACCAAUUGCAAAAUGAUUUUUUUGAAAAGCAGUUUAAUUCCAAUUUGGUUUCCGCAAUUUGGAUUAAUGAAAGUUCUUUACCAUUCAGACACUAUGUUUUUUGUGGCCUCCACAAGUUGAUUCUAAACUAUCAGCUAGGAAACAGAACAAACAUUCACAUGUGCACACACACACACACACACACACACUCAGGAAUCCAUCUUCUUCUUCUUCUCUUUCUCCAUCAAUAAAUUCCGAUUUGGUAAUUUUGAGUAUCAGCCAGCUUUGGAAACUACUGAGACAGUUUCUUGCCCAUCUAUAUACCUAACUUAUCUGUCCAUUAUCCUCCUUUCCUUACUCUAAAAAAGAUUUACGGUACUGUCUUAAUUAAAUAUAGUCACUUAGGAAAGUAACCAUUUAAGAAAAUAGAUAAAAAGAUCAAUAAUGUAAUAGUUAAUCUUUAUCUUCCUUCUCAUAGUUUUAUGUUUUCCAAAUUUUCUUGGCAUGUAUUAGUAUAAUUAAAAUUUUUUAAAAGACUGAAUUUUUUAUGGAUUAAAAAAUUUGAUGAAGUUACUUAUGAGGGUUUCCCUACUUAUGUACUGUUUCAUACUUAGUGAGUUAUCAGUUAACCAAGUAUUUUUAUUUUUAGGACUGUCUGUUCUCCCAGAGGACUAGAAAGGAAAACUUUCACACCUAUUACUUUCUAGAUUUCUGGUAAGAUGGAAGACCUCUGAAAUUCUACCGGUUUCUGUUUUUUUGGGGUUCUGCAACAGCCUCUGGAGGAAUGAUGCAUAUUAUCUUUAUAGCCAACAAUGUUAUAUAAAACAUAAAAAGGGCUUUCCUUCUUUGAUUGGAAUUUGAAGUUGUAAUCUAGCAUGUUAGAAGAAUCAUUUAAGGCUCUCUGCCCAAUCAGCAGUAACACCCCAAGUAUGUUAGUCACUUAGUAAUGUCCAACUCUUUGCAACGCCAUGGACUGUAGCCCCCUGCCAUGCUCCCCUGUCCAUGGAAUUCUCCAGGCAAUUUCCUCCUUCAGGGGAUCUUCCCAACCAGGGAUCGAACCCAGGUUUCCAGAAUUGCAGGCAGAUUCUUCACCAUCUGAGGCACCCCGGAAGCCCAAGAGUGAAAUUUAUUUGUUGCAGUGGAUUGCUUCCCUCUAAUGGUGAAAAGUAGUCAUACCACUUCAUUUUUAGUGUUUAGGUUCUUAGUCUCAAAUAGUUUACAAAUUAUUUCACACCAUGGUUUGCUUUGAUUAUGAUUAUUAUAAUCUAUGCUUUUGUGAUAAUAUCACAUGAUAUUGAUGCCAAAACCAUUAUCUCAUGAUUUUAACAAUCAAAGCAAUAACAUCUAAGAAGUUCUAGCUCGUUACUUC